GAGUAGGAGGAAGAAGACAAAGAGGACGGCAAGUGGCCUGUUUUGUUGAAUGUUCCAGCGAUUCUCUACAUCUUCAGUCCAGCUUAAAUGAGUUUAUCUGCGAGCAGUUUACUGCUGCUGGAGAAACAUUCAGUUUAAAGAAAUGAUCGUCAAGUCGGAGGAAGAGAUGGAUGAUCAGCGCAGACUGCUGGAUUUCUCCCGGACUCCCCGGAUAAUCUUACACCGAAUAGAUUCCCUGAAGUGUAAGGUUAAUAACCAGAAGAGGAGAUCCGCUUUGGACCAGGAGUUAGAGCCUCUGCAAGUAAAAGAAGAACAGGAAGAACCAGAAGUUCAUCAGAUAAAAGUGGAAGAGAAAGAAGUUUACUGCAUUCAGGGUGAAGAACAGAUUGAUUUAAAACAGGAAACUGAUA
Non-coding RNA from Poecilia reticulata (guppy), 410 nucleotides. NCBI's taxonomy places the organism in Eukaryota, Metazoa, Chordata, Actinopteri, Cyprinodontiformes, Poeciliidae. The record is from RefSeq and is a predicted model, not a curated record.